Molecule: ribosomal RNA, 433 nt
Filed under: uncultured bacterium
Lineage: Bacteria
Description: partial 16S ribosomal RNA
Rfam family: Bacterial small subunit ribosomal RNA
Source: RNAcentral
AACGAACGCUGGCGGCAUGCCUAACACAUGCAAGUCGAACGAGACCUUCGGGUCUAGUGGCGCACGGGUGCGUAACGCGUGGGAACCUGCCCUUAGGUUCGGAAUAACUCCCCGAAAGGGGUGCUAAUACCGGAUAAUGUCUUCGGACCAAAGAUUUAUCACCUUUGGAUGGGCCCGCGUUGGAUUAGCUAGUUGGUAGGGUAAAAGCCUACCAAGGCGACGAUCCAUAGCUGGUCUGAGAGGAUGAUCAGCCACACUGGGACUGAGACACGGCCCAGACUCCUACGGGAGGCAGCAGAGGGGAAUAUUGGACAAUGGGCGAAAGCCUGAUCCAGCAAUGCCGCGUGAGUGAUGAAGGCCUUAGGGUUGUAAAGCUCUUUUACCCGGGAUGAUAAUGACAGUACCGGGAGAAUAAGCUCCGGCUAACUCCGUG